GACGAACGCUGGCGGCGCGCUUAACACAUGCAAGUCGAGCGAAGCGGCGGACGGGUGAGUAACACGUGAUUAACCUGCCUUAGACCUUGUGAUAGCCUCGGGAAACCGUGAUUAAUACCAAAUGGUCUAAGAUGGACUCGCGUCCCAUUAGCUAGUUGGUGGGUAACGGCCCACCAAGGCGACGAUGAGUAGCCGGCCUUGGAGGGUGAACGGCAACAUUGGAAGUGAGAAACGGGCCGAACUCUACGGGAGGGAGCAGUGGGGAAUAUUGCACAAUGGAGGGAACUCUGAUGCAGCGACGCAGCGUGAACGAAGAAGGCUUUCGAGUCGUAAAGUUCUUUUAUAUGGGAAGCGGUACCAUAAGAAAAAGCCCCGGCUAACUACGUGCCAGCAGCCGCGGUAAUAC
RNAcentral lists this ribosomal RNA (406 nucleotides) under uncultured bacterium. RNAcentral's name for it is "partial 16S ribosomal RNA". It matches the Rfam family "Bacterial small subunit ribosomal RNA", at positions 28 to 526 of the family's 1533-position model. The record is from RNAcentral.